UACGUAGGGUGCGAGCGUUAAUCGGAAUUACUGGGCGUAAAGGGCGCGUAGGCGGCCAUCUAAGUCAGACGUGAAAUCCCUCGGCUUAACCGGGGAACUGCGUCUGAUACUGGACGGCUUGAGUUUGGGAGAGGGACGCGGAAUUCCAGGUGUAGCGGUGAAAUGCGUAGAUAUCUGGAGGAACACCGGUGGCGAAGGCGGCGUCCUGGACCAACACUGACACUGAGGAGCGAAAGCCAGGGGAGCAAACGGG
RNAcentral lists this ribosomal RNA (253 nucleotides) under uncultured bacterium. RNAcentral's name for it is "partial 16S ribosomal RNA". It matches the Rfam family "Bacterial small subunit ribosomal RNA", at positions 524 to 776 of the family's 1533-position model. The record is from RNAcentral.